CACCCAGUCCCCGAGCCUGAGGACAUGAGCAGUGGUCUAAAGUCUCACCUAGUCCCAUUUUACAGACUAAUUUGAUUGCCCGGCCCUAGAAUUCUAUAGAAACAACAACAAUGAAAAGUUGAAAUUCCUUAGAAUAUGCAGAGGGAGGGGAUGACUCACACGGUGCUAAACACAUUUUAUUAAAAAUAUAUAUUGUUAAAUUAAGUCUGCUGUCUGGACAAUGAUGUUCUGUUUUGUUUUCUUGUAGUGGAGUUUAAAAGAGACUAUUAUUUUACUCUGAUAUAUUAUUAUUAAAAGGCAUUUUAACUUUGUACUUGAAAACUAAGUGAACGAUUUCACGUGUUUUAGCUGAGGCAUCGAAGUAUCGGGUGCUUACUUGUGGGAAAUCAUGUAUUCAUACUACAAAAUAAACUCCGUGGCUGGUUUGGUAAUAACUUUUACUGUUACAGACGAUUUCGCUUUGACCCCGGUGGCAGAGCACUUUUACUCCACAUUCCACGCAGCUAAGUGCAGGACCUUCCAGAACCUUCCCCUAGUCCCCCUCGGUCCUCUUUCCGUUCCUCUUCCUAUCUCUCUCUUUUCCUAUUUUUUCUUUUUAAAUUGUCGUUUGUUUUCCCUGGUCCCAGCUUCCUUCUACCACUGUAUUUUUUUGUUAGGGUUGCUUCUCUAUUUAUUGACAAUAAUACUGUACAUUUCACAGUCUGGUUCUGGGGCAGCCAGGAGGGGUGUGGGGGGCUGCGCACAGCUUGCCGCACCAUCCGGUGUCCCGUUGUAUCUCUGUGUACGUGAUGCUUGUGACAUAGCUGUUGAAGAAAUAAUUAAAAAGGUCAAUGUGUA
Molecule: long non-coding RNA, 837 nt
Filed under: Rattus norvegicus (Norway rat)
Lineage: Eukaryota; Metazoa; Chordata; Mammalia; Rodentia; Muridae
Description: long non-coding RNA NONRATT029493
Source: RNAcentral